CCUACGGGAGGCAGCAGUAGGGAAUCUUCCACAAUGGGCGAAAGCCUGAUGGAGCAACGCCGCGUGUGUGAAGAAGGUCUUCGGAUCGUAAAACCCUGUUGUUAGAGAAGAAAGUGCGUGUGCGUAACUGUUCACGUUUCGACGGUAUCUAACCAGACAGCCCCGGCUAACUACGUGCCAGCAGCCGCGCUAAUACGUAGGUGGCAAGCGUUAUCCGGAUUUAUUGGGCGUAAAGGGAACGCAGGCGGACGUUUAAGUCUGAUGUGAAAGCCUUCGGCUUAACCGGAGUAGUGCAUUGGAAACUGGGAGACUGGAGUGCAGAAGAGGAGAGUGGAAUUCCAGGUGUAGCGGUGAAAUGCGUAGAUAUAAGGAAGAACACCAGUGGCGAAAGCGGCUCUCUGGUCUGUAACUGACGCUGAGGUUCGAAAGCGUGGGUAGCAAACAGGAUUAGAUACCCCGGUAGUC
RNAcentral lists this ribosomal RNA (465 nucleotides) under uncultured bacterium. RNAcentral's name for it is "partial 16S ribosomal RNA". It matches the Rfam family "Bacterial small subunit ribosomal RNA", at positions 338 to 795 of the family's 1533-position model. The record is from RNAcentral.